UCUCCGUAGGUGAACCUGCGGAGGGAUCAUUACAGAGUUCAUGCCCUACCGGGUAGAUCUCCCACCCUAUGUUAUUAUUACUUUGCUGCUUUGGCGGGCCGUUAGGCUCCGGCCCGACUACCGGCCCCGGCUGGUAAGCGCCCGCCAGAGGACCCAAAACCCUGAAUAUUAGUGUCGUCUGAGUACUAUAUAAUAGUUAGAACUUUCAACAACGGAUCUCUUGGUUCUG
This 229-nucleotide unclassified non-coding RNA is filed under the name plant metagenome. Its description in RNAcentral is "partial contains small subunit ribosomal RNA, internal transcribed spacer 1, and 5.8S ribosomal RNA". The record is from RNAcentral.